This 500-nucleotide ribosomal RNA is filed under the name Nocardia sp. 310C10. Its description in RNAcentral is "bacterial SSU rRNA". It matches the Rfam family "Bacterial small subunit ribosomal RNA", at positions 93 to 607 of the family's 1533-position model. The record is from RNAcentral. Lineage: Bacteria; Bacillati; Actinomycetota; Actinomycetes; Mycobacteriales; Nocardiaceae.
GAGCGGCGAACGGGUGAGUAACACGUGGGUGAUCUGCCUCGCACUCUGGGAUAAGCCUGGGAAACUGGGUCUAAUACCGGAUAUGACUUUCGGAUGCAUGUUCGAGGGUGGAAAGAUUUAUCGGUGCGAGAUGGGCCCGCGGCCUAUCAGCUUGUUGGUGGGGUAACGGCCCACCAAGGCGACGACGGGUAGCCGACCUGAGAGGGNGACCGGCCACACUGGGACUGAGACACGGCCCAGACUCCUACGGGAGGCAGCAGUGGGGAAUAUUGCACAAUGGGCGAAAGCCUGAUGCAGCGACGCCGCGUGGGGGAUGACGGCCUUCGGGUUGUAAACCCCUUUUGACAGGGACGAAGCGCAAGUGACGGUACCUGUAGAAGAAGCACCGGCCAACUACGUGCCAGCAGCCGCGGUAAUACGUAGGGUGCGAGCGUUGUCCGGAAUUACUGGGCGUAAAGAGCUUGUAGGCGGUCUGUCACGUCUUCUGUGAAAACUUGGGC